GAUGAACGCUAGCGGCAGGCUUAACACAUGCAAGUCGUGGGGCAGCGCGAGGUAGCAAUACUUUGGCGGCGACCGGCAAACGGGUGCGGAACACGUACGCAACCUUCCUCAGAGCGGGGAAUAGCCUCUCGAAAGAGAGAUUAAUACCCCAUAGUAUCUCGAAACUGCAUGGUUUGAGAUUAAAGCUUCGGCACUUUGAGAUGGGCGUGCGGCUGAUUAGGUAGUUGGUAGGGUAACGGCCUACCAAGCCAACGAUCAGUAGCUGAUGUGAGAGCAUGAUCAGCCACACGGGCACUGAGACACGGGCCCGAUCCCUACGGGAGGCAGCAGUGAGGAAUAUUGGUCAAAUGGAGGAAACUCUGAACCAGCCAUGCCGCGUGAAGGAUGAAGGUCCU
This 395-nucleotide ribosomal RNA is filed under the name uncultured bacterium. Its description in RNAcentral is "bacterial SSU rRNA". It matches the Rfam family "Bacterial small subunit ribosomal RNA", at positions 28 to 418 of the family's 1533-position model. The record is from RNAcentral.